This 106-nucleotide non-coding RNA is filed under the name Janthinobacterium saanense. The record is from RNAcentral. Lineage: Bacteria; Pseudomonadati; Pseudomonadota; Betaproteobacteria; Burkholderiales; Oxalobacteraceae.
CGCCUUGUGCCUGAAAGGGCGACGGUGAAAGCCGGAGCGGGGUCUCAGCAGAGGUCAUAGUAGCCGAAGGUAGCGCCGGGAAGGCUCGACCCCUUAGGCGAAGGAC